This is a long non-coding RNA of Sapajus apella (tufted capuchin), 653 nucleotides long. RefSeq lists it as uncharacterized. The record is from RefSeq and is a predicted model, not a curated record. The transcript is spliced from 3 exons. NCBI's taxonomy places the organism in Eukaryota, Metazoa, Chordata, Mammalia, Primates, Cebidae.
UGCCUGGGGUUGGGGGUGUUGGUCCCUGGGGGCUGACCCUUUCACCUGCCUGCUCUCUGUCCCUGCAGCACUGCUGGAAAGGAAGGAGGAAGAUGGACAGGGGGUGGCCACUCUGGGUGCCAAGCUCUUCGUGCCAGCCUGGCAGGGCUGCAUGCCCUUGGCCUGCUGCAGCAGCGGGGCCGGCUCUGGACCAACUCCCUGAGGAUCCAGUACAGCCUCCUGGGUGGCCCACCAGAUGCUGUCCUGGGCUGAGGCCACGUUCUCACGGGCACUGAAGAGGCUCUGCAAACCCCUGCUGGACCUGUAUGACCUUGUAACCAGAUUAUGAGGCCUGGCCCAGCAAUGCAGCCAAGGGCAGUGCUGGGAUGACCGACUCUGGGCUCCUGGGGAGCUUGCAUGUGGCUCAGAUGAGUCUGCUUACCUCUGUGGACUCAGCUUCCUCUACUGUGAAAUGCAGGUAACCACAUGGCUCACUCAUAUGGGUAAGGGGCGUGUACAGUUCUUAAUGCACAAGGGAGCCCCUCAUGUCCAUGGAGGAGCCAUGGUACCCAGGCUUGGCAAGGAGCAGUUUAUCUGUGUGGAGCUCACACAGAGGCCUAGGGCUCCCUAGAAGCGUGGGUGUAGUCAGGUCUAAGCAGCACGCUGAUCUUGUA